Molecule: ribosomal RNA, 1370 nt
Filed under: uncultured bacterium
Lineage: Bacteria
Description: bacterial SSU rRNA
Rfam family: Bacterial small subunit ribosomal RNA
Source: RNAcentral
AGAGUUUGAUCCUGGCUCAGAACGAACGCUGGCGGCGUGGAUAAGACAUGCAAGUCGAACGAGAGAAUUGCUAGCUUGCUAAUAAUUCUCUAGUGGCGCACGGGUGAGUAACACGUGAGUAACCUGCCCCCGAGAGCGGGAUAGCCCUGGGAAACUGGGAUUAAUACCGCAUAGUAUCGAAAGAUUAAAGCAGCAAUGCGCUUGGGGAUGGGCUCGCGGCCUAUUAGUUAGUUGGUGAGGUAACGGCUCACCAAGGCGAUGACGGGUAGCCGGUCUGAGAGGAUGUCCGGCCACACUGGAACUGAGACACGGUCCAGACACCUACGGGUGGCAGCAGUCGAGAAUCAUUCACAAUGGGGGAAACCCUGAUGGUGCGACGCCGCGUGGGGGAAUGAAGGUCUUCGGAUUGUAAACCCCUGUCAUGUGGGAGCAAAUUAAAAAGAUAGUACCACAAGAGGAAGAGACGGCUAACUCUGUGCCAGCAGCCGCGGUAAUACAGAGGUCUCAAGCGUUGUUCGGAAUCACUGGGCGUAAAGCGUGCGUAGGCUGUUUCGUAAGUCGUGUGUGAAAGGCGCGGGCUCAACCCGCGGACGGCACAUGAUACUGCGAGACUAGAGUAAUGGAGGGGGAACCGGAAUUCUCGGUGUAGCAGUGAAAUGCGUAGAUAUCGAGAGGAACACUCGUGGCGAAGGCGGGUUCCUGGACAUUAACUGACGCUGAGGCACGAAGGCCAGGGGAGCGAAAGGGAUUAGAUACCCCUGUAGUCCUGGCAGUAAACGGUGCACGCUUGGUGUGCGGGGAAUCGACCCCCUGCGUGCCGGAGCUAACGCGUUAAGCGUGCCGCCUGGGGAGUACGGUCGCAAGAUUAAAACUCAAAGAAAUUGACGGGGACCCGCACAAGCGGUGGAGUAUGUGGCUUAAUUCGAUGCAACGCGAAGAACCUUACCUGGGCUUGACAUGUAAUGAACAACAUGUGAAAGCAUGCGACUCUUCGGAGGCGUUACACAGGUUCUGCAUGGCCGUCGUCAGCUCGUGUCGUGAGAUGUUUGGUUAAGUCCAGCAACGAGCGCAACCCCUGUUGCCAGUUACCAGCACGUGAAGGUGGGGACUCUGGCGAGACUGCCCAGAUCAACUGGGAGGAAGGUGGGGACGACGUCAGGUCAGUAUGGCCCUUAUGCCCAGGGCUGCACACGUACUACAAUGCCCAGUACAGAGGGGGCCGAAGCCGCGAGGCGGAGGAAAUCCUAAAAACUGGGCCCAGUUCGGACUGUAGGCUGCAACCCGCCUACACGAAGCCGGAAUCGCUAGUAAUGGCGCAUCAGCUACGGCGCCGUGAAUACGUUCCCGGGUCUUGUACUCACCGCCCGUCA